Molecule: transfer RNA, 90 nt
Filed under: Chloroflexota bacterium
Lineage: Bacteria; Bacillati; Chloroflexota
Description: Chloroflexi bacterium (soil metagenome) tRNA-Ser
Rfam family: tRNA
About the family: Transfer RNA (tRNA) molecules are approximately 80 nucleotides in length.
Source: RNAcentral
GGAGAGGUCGCAUAGUGGCCUAGUGCGGUGGUUUGCUAAACCGCUAUGGGGGCAACUCCAUCGAGGGUUCGAAUCCCUCCCUCUCCGCCA